This 253-nucleotide unclassified non-coding RNA is filed under the name uncultured Terriglobales bacterium. RNAcentral describes it as "uncultured Acidobacteriales bacterium contains 16S-23S intergenic spacer region". It matches the Rfam family "Bacterial small subunit ribosomal RNA", at positions 524 to 776 of the family's 1533-position model. Lineage: Bacteria; Pseudomonadati; Acidobacteriota; Terriglobia; Terriglobales. The record is from RNAcentral.
UACGUAGGGUGCGAGCGUUGUCCGGAAUUAUUGGGCGUAAAGGGCGCGUAGGCGGUGCGGUAAGUCUGCUGUGAAAUCUCCGGGCUCAACUCGGAGUCUGCAACGGAAACUGCCGUGCUGGAGUAUGGGAGAGGUGAGUGGAAUUCCCGGUGUGGCGGUGAAAUGCGUAGAUAUCGGGAGGAACACCUGUGGCGAAAGCGGCUCACUGGACCAUAACUGACGCUGAGGCGCGAAAGCUAGGGGAGCAAACAGG